RNAcentral lists this long non-coding RNA (1284 nucleotides) under Pogona vitticeps (central bearded dragon). RNAcentral's name for it is "lncRNA (ENSPVIG00000012861.1)". The record is from RNAcentral. Lineage: Eukaryota; Metazoa; Chordata; Lepidosauria; Squamata; Agamidae.
GCUGUGUAACCUGUUCACCACUGUCCUAUGUCAUCAGCCACUUAAGAACAUAAAUUAAAUCAGCUUUGCAUCUUUAUGUUACUACUGAUUUCACUAAAGUAUUGCAGAAGCAUUACAAUACAGAAGGACACACACCUUCAAAAGAACAAAAUACAUAAUUCAUCCUUGCAAAUUACAGGUCUUUAUUAAUUUACACAAAAUUUAAUUGCUUUCAAAUGUACUUUUGGUUGACCAUAGGCAAAACAUUUCAAUUCAGCAUAGAUUCUUCUGGCAGAAAUAGAAUUGUUCUACUCUCAUUCAGAAGUUUUGGGAGUCUGAUUAGACCUUUAUCAAAUGAAUUCAUCAAAAAGAUAGAUGAAAACCAAGACAUUCAAGGAAAUUAAUAUGUUCAAAUGUACCUUUAAAAGAAAAGACAUUAAUGGUUUUACAAUGAUGCAAGUGCAUUUUAAAUCACUGCAAUGCAAUUUGAUUUUAGAAUCUGUAGCAUUAAAAGUGUUUAAUGUGAGGACACUUGGUUUAUAAAGUUUUAUUAAGCUGUCUGAGGACUGUGGACAAGCAGAGGACUGAGCCUGGACAUCAAAUAUCACCCUACCUGUAUCUUGUGUUAAUGAAGUAAAGAGCAAUGCAGGGGGUUAAGCUGUAGCUGCUAUGCAUUAAAAAUUAUUCCAUAACAGCAAGAAAGCAUUUUGGCAUGAUAGCACAGCUCUAAAUAUAGACUGUACUUCUCAUGCAAUUUUCACACUCCCAAAGAAGUUCGCCUUUGUGCCUCUUAAGUAUUUUAAGGUAUAACACAGCAUUCUUUUAAAAGGUGAUUCAAAGGAGAAAGCAUUUAAACUGUGGAUCUGGGGGCGGGGGAAGAGAAAUGGAUGGUUACUGAAGAACAGCACAGGUUCUAAACAGAAAUAUUAGUGGACUAGAAAUAUAUAAAUGAAUGUUGUAUAUUUUAAAAUCAAAUAGGUCAAUGAAUAAGUUAAAGAAUAUUUAAUUCAAACAAUGGCUGCUUUCAUUUACAACUAACCCAAUGUACAUAUAUGCUCUAUUAUUUUCACAUAUGCUAAGAACCUACCUUUUCUCUCUCACAGAGAUUUACAAACAAGUAUGGACUUUCCUACAAGACUGUCAUGGGCUGAAGGCUUUAUAACAGUUAUUUUCAUUCUUAAAUGCAAAACAAAACAAAAAAACCCAUCAGAACUAAAAUAAGAUCAUUUAAAUGAACUCCUUUCCUGAGCAACUUAGAAUUUGGAAUGUGCUAAAAGUCACAAUAAAUAAGUCAAAAGAUCAACA